This 72-nucleotide transfer RNA is filed under the name Phycisphaera sp. RNAcentral's name for it is "tRNA-Gly". It matches the Rfam family "tRNA". Rfam says of the family: Transfer RNA (tRNA) molecules are approximately 80 nucleotides in length. Their secondary structure includes four short double-helical elements and three loops (D, anti-codon, and T loops). The record is from RNAcentral. Lineage: Bacteria; Pseudomonadati; Planctomycetota; Phycisphaerae; Phycisphaerales; Phycisphaeraceae.
GCGGGUGUAGUUCAGUGGUAGAACGUCAGCCUUCCAAGCUGAAUGUCACCGGUUCGAGUCCGGUCACCCGCU